UUUCGAAAUUAAUAUUUAUUAAUAUUUACAAAUUUAGCAAUAUUUCGUGUAUUUCACUAUGAUUUGUAAGUUACGGAUAAUUUGGACAAUCGUUUUAUAUUUUGAAAGUAAUGGAUAUAUUUCAAUCUGGUGAAAAGCCAAUAUAGAUAUUGACCAAUGGGACAAGUGGGAGUUAAACUCAAGUCCAACGCUGGUCAUCCAAGAGCAAAGCUCUGAUACAACAUUAAGAGCCUACAAAAACUAUAAAGAAAACUAACUCAAAGAAACUAAUGUCCGAAAAUAAGUUUAUUUUGGUCUAAAAAACAAUAACCUACAUAACCAAACCAAAGUACUCUGGCUGAAUGGUCCCUUCCGGUUCGGACCGCCAACGAGUUUGCCAAAGGGAUCUCCUACCACUGAAUAAGUGUGGUUUAAGGUUUAGGCACUGGGCCAGCUGUCGCUGAGAAAACAAGAAACCUCCCGCUAGAAGCACAUAAGCUCACAACGAGGGAAGCAUGUUCAGUCUGCCUCUGCCCCUUCUCGAAAACUGGAUUCAAAAACCGGAUCACAACCUUAUGCUUGCUUCCGCCACGUGCGCCAUCUCAACAAGACGUCGGCUUAGCACCUUCGCUCUUCCACGAACCAGGUUCAAAGCCACAACCCAAACCUUGAUCCCAACUAUGAUGAAAUUUCUACCUAUGACUACGAUGUCAUAUGCCACCCCCUGCAGGCUGAGACCAAGGUCGCCACUGCCCUCUAACACAAAACCUUAGGUUUCAAUUUGCUAAGCUCCGAAGAAGGAGCGAAUUGACUAUAGAUGGAUACUUUAGGAGUAACUAAAUUGAGGAUAAGUUGGACAAUUGUCAUCCAAUUUUCUAAAACAUAUCCUUUUAAGUAAUAUUCUACCAAAUUAUAUUAAAGAAUAUAGAAUCAUUAACUUGUAAUACUAUCUAACUUAUUUGUAUCAUAUAUUCAUCACCACUUGGGUGAUCAUAUAGUUUGGUUGAACCAAACAUAUAAUUACAUAUUAAGGACUGCAAUUUUUAAAACGUUGGCCCAAAUUGUAUGAGUGCAAAGCACCUAAUAAAAAU
Molecule: long non-coding RNA, 1070 nt
Filed under: Fragaria vesca (wild strawberry)
Lineage: Eukaryota; Viridiplantae; Streptophyta; Magnoliopsida; Rosales; Rosaceae
Description: long non-coding RNA (FVES_LNC003017)
Source: RNAcentral